This 253-nucleotide ribosomal RNA is filed under the name uncultured bacterium. Its description in RNAcentral is "partial 16S ribosomal RNA". It matches the Rfam family "Bacterial small subunit ribosomal RNA", at positions 524 to 776 of the family's 1533-position model. The record is from RNAcentral.
UACGUAGGUGGCAAGCGUUAUCCGGAAUUAUUGGGCGUAAAGAGCGCGCAGGUGGUUGAAAAAGUCUGAUGUGAAAGCCCACGGCUUAACCGUGGAGGGUCAUUGGAAACUGUUCAACUGGAGUGCAGAAGAGGGAAGUGGAAUUCCAUGUGUAGCGGUGAAAUGCGUAGAGAUAUGGAGGAACACCAGUGGCGAAGGCGGCUUCCUGGUCUGUAACUGACACUGAGGCGCGAAAGCGUGGGGAGCAAACAGG